Molecule: ribosomal RNA, 250 nt
Filed under: uncultured bacterium
Lineage: Bacteria
Description: partial 16S ribosomal RNA
Rfam family: Bacterial small subunit ribosomal RNA
Source: RNAcentral
UACGUAGGGAGCAAGCGUUAUCCGGAUUUACUGGGUGUAAAGGGCGCGUAGGCGGGACGACAAGUCAGGUGUGAAAUCUGGUGGCUCAACCACCAAACUGCACUUGAAACUGUUGUUCUUGAGUGAUGGAGAGGCAAGUGGAAUUCCUAGUGUAGCGGUGAAAUGCGUAGAUAUUAGGAGGAACACCAGUGGCGAAGGCGACUUGCUGGACAUUAACUGACGCUGAGGCGCGAAAGCGUGGGGAGCAAAC